Long non-coding RNA from Nerophis ophidion (straightnose pipefish), 2144 nucleotides. RefSeq lists it as uncharacterized. The transcript has 2 exons. Lineage: Eukaryota; Metazoa; Chordata; Actinopteri; Syngnathiformes; Syngnathidae. The record is from RefSeq and is a predicted model, not a curated record.
UAUACAGUAGGUCAGGGAUUACAAACAUUUAUACAGUUGGUCAGGGAUUACAAACAUUUAUACAGUAGGUCAGGGAUUACAAACAUUUAUACAGUAGGUCAGGGAUUACAAACAUUUAACAGCAGGUCAGGAAUUACAAACAUUUAUACAGUAGGUCAGGGAUUACAAACAUAUACAGUAGGUCAGGGAUUACAAACAUUUAUACAGUAGGUCAGGGAUUACAAACAUUUAACAGUAAAUCAGGGAUUACAAACAUUUAUACAGUGGGUCAGGGAUUACAAACAUUUAUACAGUAGGUCAGGGAUUACAAACAUUUAACAGUAGGUCAGGAAUUACAAACAUUUAUACAGUAGGUCAGGGAUUACAAACAUAUACAGUAGGUCAGGGAUUACAAACAUUUAUACAGUAGGUCAGGAAUUACAAACAUUUAUACAGUAGGUCGGGGAUUACAAACAUUUAUACAGUAGGUCGGGGAUUACAACCAUUUAUACAGUAGGUCGGGGAUUACAAACAUUUAUACAGUAGGUCAGGGAUUACAAACAAUGCAUUGGAGGAACAGUUGACAUACUUCACACCAAAGUCCUACUUUCACCAUAGCUGUUGGUCCAAAACUAAUGAGGAUUUGAGCAGAAUGAGGGACAAGUGGUAGAAAAUGGAUGGAUGGAGGCUAACAUGUUUAUUUUUGCUGGUUGUGUAUUGUCUAGCGUACAUUAUGCCAGCAGGAGCGUGUUAGAGAGCCUCUGGUCACUAUAAACUCUGCAUGAAUGUAGCAGCCAAGUGCAUCAAAAAGUGACACAAAGUUGCUCCAAAAGUUUUAUUAUACAGUAAACACUACUGUGACCAAACAAUAGCAUGUUUUAUUGUAAGUUUAUGAGCUGGAGUAUUUUUACAACAAUUUUCAGAGGUAUUAUUUUGGUUUAUUUGGUCAUAGAAACUGACUUCAGAAGGAGUGAACUUCAUGCUUCCAGCACAACAACACACACGUCCUCGGUAGCAAACAUGGCGCCUGUGGUGGAGUUGUCCAUACACGACUCUGACCGCUGGUACACGCAGCACACUUUGAGAAUCACUACACUACUGAGUGUUUCAAAUACUAAUGUUUUCUAUGGUAUUAGUUUGUGUUUUAUGUUUAUGCUUUUUUUAAUGCACACUUGUCAGGAAGAGGUCACUUCCUGCCAACACUGCAAGUGAGUCCACUGUUUGCUUUAUGUGUGCUGGCUCUCAUGACGGAUGCAGUGUUCACAGCGGACGUCCUCAAGUCCUGCACAUGGACAUCGCUGUCUAAACAAUGCAUACAUUGUGAUACCAUGGCGACUUUCUUGAUGUAAUGAUACCAGCUGGUUUUCAACUUGACAAAUACAGCCACAGUCUGACUAUGCUGUCCAUGUACCUUUGCUUGGUGAUUAUUCCUAGAUUACAUUCAAUAUGUGGUUCAUUAAUAGUUUUCAUUGUUUGUUUCCCUCAUAGCUGUUUUCCUUUGUUAGCGAGCUAGCAUCAUGUACAGUGGACCCGUUUAUGUCCAUGCUGCUCGACAUACACAAUAUCUGUCAGGUUCAAACCCCAAUGGCAUCUUUUAAACAGACAAGAAGCAAGGAAUUAAACACAGACAUAAUUCAAUUUGGCUCAUGAGGAGAAAUGUCUGGGCUGCACUCUUGUACAGUUUUCCACCACGCUCUGACCAAAUGGUUGCACGCCUCUUUUAUUUGGACUUUCCCUGAUUACAUAGCAAGAGAUGGGGUCUUAAAACAGUUCAAAGAAAAGAUGCCUGGAGCUUGCGUCAGGUCCUUUGUAGAUCUCAGUUCAAGACAAGAUCUUCCAGUGGAUCACAAUAGAUCAAAGAAACUGACACCUUCAUGUCGCUUCCCAUCGUUCACAGUGGAGUUUUACAAGCCUUUUGCUUGGUUAGAUCAAAGACAGCUUUUGUAUCCUCAUGGGAACAGAAAGUUUUGUGGCAAUUUACAUACAAUUAUUCUGACAAUGUCUCUCGACGUAAUCCAACCCAACUGAACAGGAAGUCAUUAAAAGAGUCACUGAAACAUAUUUAAAUGCUGCAUACUGUCACUAAGCAGAAGUCAUGUUGCUGCUGUCCUUUCACACUGUUUUGCAAUAAUGAAGAAGAUAAUACAACACAUACUUUUCAUUGA